Molecule: small RNA, 193 nt
Filed under: Arabidopsis thaliana (thale cress)
Lineage: Eukaryota; Viridiplantae; Streptophyta; Magnoliopsida; Brassicales; Brassicaceae
Description: ATSL190070
Source: RNAcentral
UUAAUAAAUUUUAGUUUUGGCAAGAAAUGUCAGAGUAAAAAUCAUUAUUGCUGUGGGUUGCUCUGUUAUUGGUUUAGCCGUAACCGCAGUCUGCUUUUACUUGAGGAAUAAAAGAAAGGAAAAAAAGAGACAUGAAGGUGGAUUUUUUAGUCAUAAAGGUUGAAAAACUAUCUUCUUUGAGAGUUUUUUAUUU